Long non-coding RNA from Alosa alosa (allis shad), 329 nucleotides. RefSeq lists it as uncharacterized. The transcript is spliced from 3 exons. NCBI's taxonomy places the organism in Eukaryota, Metazoa, Chordata, Actinopteri, Clupeiformes, Clupeidae. The record is from RefSeq and is a predicted model, not a curated record.
GGGCCAGUUGGAGGACUGGAUGUGUUGCUCCCAUUGGCUGGAGCUGGAUUUCCUGGACUUUGCAGAGAGGGUGCGGCUCUUCUGCUGGAUGGCCUUAAGGAGUCAGCAGGGAUGUAUUACCGGAUAAAGUUGAGCAGCUCCCAAGCCUGCACUGUCCUAUGGGGAAGACAUUCAGAAUAACCAGGCCCACUGCUUUGCCUCCAAACCAGUCACCAUGGUGAAUCUGAGGAACAGAUGACAGAGACAUACGACUUUAUGAACGGUUGACUCUGAGGAAGAAGCUGUGCAUCGAAACUUUAGUUGUUUGAACCAUUAAAGUCUGAAAAAGC